GAUUAAGUUAUUAAGGGCGCACGGUGGAUGCCUUGGCACUAGAAGCCGAUGAAGGACGUUACUAACGACGACAUGCUUUGGGGAGCUGUAAGUAAGCUUUGAUCCAGAGAUUUCCGAAUGGGGAAACCCAGCAUGAGUUAUGUCAUGUUAUCGAUAUGUGAAUACAUAGCAUAUCAGAAGGCACACCCGGAGAACUGAAACAUCUUAGUACCCGGAGGAAGAGAAAGAAAAUUCGAUUCCCUUAGUAGCGGCGAGCGAAACGGGAAGAGCCCAAACCAACAAGCUUGCUUGUUGGGGUUGUAGGACACUCUAUACGGAGUUACAAAGGACGACAUUAGACGAAUCAUCUGGAAAGAUGAAUCAAAGAAGGUAAUAAUCCUGUAGUCGAAAAUGUUGUCUCUCUUGAGUGGAUCCUGAGUACGACGGAGCACGUGAAAUUCCGUCGGAAUCUGGGAGGACCAUCUCCUAAGGCUAAAUACUCUCUAGUGACCGAUAGUGAACCAGUACCGUGAGGGAAAGGUGAAAAGCACCCCGGAAGGGGAGUGAAAUAGAACCUGAAACCGUGUGCUUACAAGUAGUCAGAGCCCGUUAAUGGGUGAUGGCGUGCCUUUUGUAGAAUGAACCGGCGAGUUACGAUUUGAUGCAAGGUUAAGCAGUAAAUGUGGAGCCGUAGCGAAAGCGAGUCUGAAUAGGGCGUUUAGUAUUUGGUCGUAGACCCGAAACCAGGUGAUCUACCCUUGGUCAGGUUGAA
RNAcentral lists this ribosomal RNA (751 nucleotides) under Staphylococcus aureus. RNAcentral's name for it is "partial 23S ribosomal RNA". It matches the Rfam family "Bacterial large subunit ribosomal RNA", at positions 1 to 749 of the family's 2925-position model. Lineage: Bacteria; Bacillati; Bacillota; Bacilli; Caryophanales; Staphylococcaceae. The record is from RNAcentral.